This 215-nucleotide long non-coding RNA is filed under the name Vigna radiata. Its description in RNAcentral is "long non-coding RNA (VRAD_LNC016921)". Lineage: Eukaryota; Viridiplantae; Streptophyta; Magnoliopsida; Fabales; Fabaceae. The record is from RNAcentral.
UUUUAUGAUGCACAACCAUGAUUAAUAACCAACCAUGUUUGCACAAUCUAAUUUAAAACAGCAAAAUAUUAAGCAGAAUAAGCAGAAUAUGAGAUAAAAUGAAAAUGCAUUCUCCCCCUUUCAUAUUCUCCCACUUUCAUAAGGCUUUCAUACAAUCUUUCCCCCUUUGUGCAUUAGCAAAAAAUGUAUGCUCUAGAUAUUCAGGCUGAAAUAUC